GACGAACGCUGGCGGCGUGCUUAACACAUGCAAGUCGAACGGGCCUGUCUUCUUUUUUGGGGGUGGGUUGAGUGGCGAACGGGUGAGUAUCACGUGAGUAACCUGCCCUUCGGUCCUGGAUAACCGCUUGAAAGGGCGGCUAAUACGGGGUGGACCGGUUGGUCCGCAUGGGCUGGUCGGGAUAGAUUCACUGUUUUUGGUGUUUCGGCGGGGGAUGGGCUCGCGGCCUAUCAGCUUGUUGGUGGGGUGAUGGCCUACCAAGGCGGUGACGGGUAGCCGGCCUGAGAGGGUGGGCGGCCACACUGGGACUGAGAUACGGCCCAGACUCCUGCGGGAGGCAGCAGUGGGGGGUAUUGCACAAUGGGCGGAAGCCUGAUGCAGCGACGUCGCGUGAGGGAUGGAGGCCUUCGGGUUGUGAACCUCUGUUUCCGGUGGUGAAGGCCCUGUCCGUGUGGUGGGGUUGACGGUAGCCGGGGAUGAAGCGCCGGCUAACUACGUG
RNAcentral lists this ribosomal RNA (499 nucleotides) under uncultured bacterium. RNAcentral describes it as "partial 16S ribosomal RNA". It matches the Rfam family "Bacterial small subunit ribosomal RNA", at positions 28 to 507 of the family's 1533-position model. The record is from RNAcentral.